GAUGAACGCUGGCGGCGUGCCUAACACAUGCAAGUCGAACGAAGCAGGAAAGCGGAAGUUUUCGGAUGGAAGCAUUCUUGACUGAGUGGCGGACGGGUGAGUAACGCGUGGGUAACCUGCCUCAUACAGGGGGAUAACAGUUAGAAAUGACUGCUAAAACCGCAUAACACGAAGAUGCCGCAUGACAUUUUCGUCAAAUAUUUAUAGGUAUGGGAUGGGCCCGCGUCUGAUUAGCUGGUUGGUGGGGUAAAGGCCUACCAAGGCGACGAUCAGUAGCCGGCUUGAGAGAGUGACCGGCCACAUUGGGACUGAGACACGGCCCAAACUCCUACGGGAGGCAGCAGUGGGGGAUAUUGCACAAUGGGGGAAACCCUGAUGCAGCGACGCCGCGUGAGUGAAGAAGUAUUUCGGUAUGUAAAGCUCUAUCAGCAGGGAAGAUAAUGACAGUACCUGACUAAGAAGCCCCGGCUAACUACGUGCCAGCCGCCGCCGUAAAAC
RNAcentral lists this ribosomal RNA (498 nucleotides) under uncultured bacterium. Its description in RNAcentral is "bacterial SSU rRNA". It matches the Rfam family "Bacterial small subunit ribosomal RNA", at positions 28 to 526 of the family's 1533-position model. The record is from RNAcentral.